This 76-nucleotide transfer RNA is filed under the name Caudoviricetes sp. RNAcentral's name for it is "tRNA-Asn". It matches the Rfam family "tRNA". Rfam says of the family: Transfer RNA (tRNA) molecules are approximately 80 nucleotides in length. Their secondary structure includes four short double-helical elements and three loops (D, anti-codon, and T loops). The record is from RNAcentral. Lineage: Duplodnaviria; Heunggongvirae; Uroviricota; Caudoviricetes.
GGGAGAUUAGCUCAGUUGGUAGAGCGCAUGACUGUUAAUCAUGAUGGCGUAAGUUCAAAGCUUACAUUUCCCGCCA